This 1059-nucleotide ribosomal RNA is filed under the name Bifidobacterium breve. Its description in RNAcentral is "bacterial SSU rRNA". It matches the Rfam family "Bacterial small subunit ribosomal RNA", at positions 25 to 1091 of the family's 1533-position model. The record is from RNAcentral. Lineage: Bacteria; Bacillati; Actinomycetota; Actinomycetes; Bifidobacteriales; Bifidobacteriaceae.
AAGGCACAGCUACGGCGGGUGCUACACAUGCAAGUCGAACGGGAUCCAUCGGGCUUUGCUUGGUGGUGAGAGUGGCGAACGGGUGAGUAAUGCGUGACCGACCUGCCCCAUGCACCGGAAUAGCUCCUGGAAACGGGUGGUAAUGCCGGAUGCUCCAUCACACCGCAUGGUGUGUUGGGAAAGCCUUUGCGGCAUGGGAUGGGGUCGCGUCCUAUCAGCUUGAUGGCGGGGUAACGGCCCACCAUGGCUUCGACGGGUAGCCGGCCUGAGAGGGCGACCGGCCACAUUGGGACUGAGAUACGGCCCAGACUCCUACGGGAGGCAGCAGUGGGGAAUAUUGCACAAUGGGCGCAAGCCUGAUGCAGCGACGCCGCGUGAGGGAUGGAGGCCUUCGGGUUGUAAACCUCUUUUGUUAGGGAGCAAGGCACUUUGUGUUGAGUGUACCUUUCGAAUAAGCACCGGCUAACUACGUGCCAGCAGCCGCGGUAAUACGUAGGGUGCAAGCGUUAUCCGGAAUUAUUGGGCGUAAAGGGCUCGUAGGCGGUUCGUCGCGUCCGGUGUGAAAGUCCAUCGCUUAACGGUGGAUCCGCGCCGGGUACGGGCGGGCUUGAGUGCGGUAGGGGAGACUGGAAUUCCCGGUGUAACGGUGGAAUGUGUAGAUAUCGGGAAGAACACCAAUGGCGAAGGCAGGUCUCUGGGCCGUUACUGACGCUGAGGAGCGAAAGCGUGGGGAGCGAACAGGAUUAGAUACCCUGGUAGUCCACGCCGUAAACGGUGGAUGCUGGAUGUGGGGCCCGUUCCACGGGUUCCGUGUCGGAGCUAACGCGUUAAGCAUCCCGCCUGGGGAGUACGGCCGCAAGGCUAAAACUCAAAGAAAUUGACGGGGGCCCGCACAAGCGGCGGAGCAUGCGGAUUAAUUCGAUGCAACGCGAAGAACCUUACCUGGGCUUGACAUGUUCCCGACGAUCCCAGAGAUGGGGUUUCCCUUCGGGGCGGGUUCCACAGGUGGUGCAUGGUCGUCGUCAGCUCGUGUCGUGAGAUGUUGGGUUUAAGUUUGCA